RNAcentral lists this ribosomal RNA (2771 nucleotides) under Klebsiella pneumoniae. RNAcentral's name for it is "bacterial LSU rRNA". It matches the Rfam family "Bacterial large subunit ribosomal RNA". The record is from RNAcentral. Lineage: Bacteria; Pseudomonadati; Pseudomonadota; Gammaproteobacteria; Enterobacterales; Enterobacteriaceae.
AGCGUACACGGUGGAUGCCCUGGCAGUCAGAGGCGAUGAAGGACGUGCUAAUCUGCGAAAAGCGUCGGUAAGGUGAUAUGAACCGUUAUAACCGGCGAUGUCCGAAUGGGGAAACCCAGUGCAAUUCGUUGCACUAUCGUUAACUGAAUACAUAGGUUAACGAGGCGAACCGGGGGAACUGAAACAUCUAAGUACCCCGAGGAAAAGAAAUCAACCGAGAUUCCCCCAGUAGCGGCGAGCGAACGGGGAGCAGCCCAGAGUCUGAAUCAGCUUGUGUGUUAGUGGAACGGUCUGGAAAGUCCGACGGUACAGGGUGAUAGUCCCGUACACCAAAAUGCACAGGCUGUGAACUCGAAGAGUAGGGCGGGACACGUGGUAUCCUGUCUGAAUAUGGGGGGACCAUCCUCCAAGGCUAAAUACUCCUGACUGACCGAUAGUGAACCAGUACCGUGAGGGAAAGGCGAAAAGAACCCCGGCGAGGGGAGUGAAAAAGAACCUGAAACCGUGUACGUACAAGCAGUGGGAGCACCUUCGGGUGUGACUGCGUACCUUUUGUAUAAUGGGUCAGCGACUUAUAUUCUGUAGCAAGGUUAACCGUAUAGGGGAGCCGCAGGGAAACCGAGUCUUAACUGGGCGUUAAGUUGCAGGGUAUAGACCCGAAACCCGGUGAUCUAGCCAUGGGCAGGUUGAAGGUUGGGUAACACUAACUGGAGGACCGAACCGACUAAUGUUGAAAAAUUAGCGGAUGACUUGUGGCUGGGGGUGAAAGGCCAAUCAAACCGGGAGAUAGCUGGUUCUCCCCGAAAGCUAUUUAGGUAGCGCCUCGUGAAUUCAUCUUCGGGGGUAGAGCACUGUUUCGGCUAGGGGGUCAUCCCGACUUACCAACCCGAUGCAAACUACGAAUACCGAAGAAUGUUAUCACGGGAGACACACGGCGGGUGCUAACGUCCGUCGUGAAGAGGGAAACAACCCAGACCGCCAGCUAAGGUCCCAAAGUCAUGGUUAAGUGGGAAACGAUGUGGGAAGGCACAGACAGCCAGGAUGUUGGCUUAGAAGCAGCCAUCAUUUAAAGAAAGCGUAAUAGCUCACUGGUCGAGUCGGCCUGCGCGGAAGAUGUAACGGGGCUAAACCAUGCACCGAAGCUGCGGCAGCGACACUAUGUGUUGUUGGGUAGGGGAGCGUUCUGUAAGCCUGCGAAGGUGUGCUGUGAGGCAUGCUGGAGGUAUCAGAAGUGCGAAUGCUGACAUAAGUAACGAUAAAGCGGGUGAAAAGCCCGCUCGCCGGAAGACCAAGGGUUCCUGUCCAACGUUAAUCGGGGCAGGGUGAGUCGACCCCUAAGGCGAGGCCGAAAGGCGUAGUCGAUGGGAAACAGGUUAAUAUUCCUGUACUUGGUGUUACUGCGAAGGGGGGACGGAGAAGGCUAUGUUAGCCGGGCGACGGUUGUCCCGGUUUAAGCAUGUAGGCUGGUUAUCCAGGCAAAUCCGGAUAAUCAAGGCUGAGGUGUGAUGACGAGGCACUACGGUGCUGAAGUAACAAAUGCCCUGCUUCCAGGAAAAGCCUCUAAGCAUCAGGUAACAUUAAAUCGUACCCCAAACCGACACAGGUGGUCAGGUAGAGAAUACCAAGGCGCUUGAGAGAACUCGGGUGAAGGAACUAGGCAAAAUGGUGCCGUAACUUCGGGAGAAGGCACGCUGGUGUGUAGGUGAAGUCCCUGCGGAUGGAGCUGAGACCAGUCGAAGAUACCAGCUGGCUGCAACUGUUUAUUAAAAACACAGCACUGUGCAAACACGAAAGUGGACGUAUACGGUGUGACGCCUGCCCGGUGCCGGAAGGUUAAUUGAUGGGGUUAUCCGUAAGGAGAAGCUCUUGAUCGAAGCCCCGGUAAACGGCGGCCGUAACUAUAACGGUCCUAAGGUAGCGAAAUUCCUUGUCGGGUAAGUUCCGACCUGCACGAAUGGCGUAAUGAUGGCCAGGCUGUCUCCACCCGAGACUCAGUGAAAUUGAACUCGCUGUGAAGAUGCAGUGUACCCGCGGCAAGACGGAAAGACCCCGUGAACCUUUACUAUAGCUUGACACUGAACAUUGAGCCUUGAUGUGUAGGAUAGGUGGGAGGCUUUGAAGCGUGGACGCCAGUCUGCGUGGAGCCAACCUUGAAAUACCACCCUUUAAUGUUUGAUGUUCUAACGUUGGCCCCUGACCGGGGUUGCGGACAGUGUCUGGUGGGUAGUUUGACUGGGGCGGUCUCCUCCCAAAGCGUAACGGAGGAGCACGAAGGUUAGCUAAUCCUGGUCGGACAUCAGGAGGUUAGUGCAAUGGCAUAAGCUAGCUUGACUGCGAGCGUGACGGCGCGAGCAGGUGCGAAAGCAGGUCAUAGUGAUCCGGUGGUUCUGAAUGGAAGGGCCAUCGCUCAACGGAUAAAAGGUACUCCGGGGAUAACAGGCUGAUACCGCCCAAGAGUUCAUAUCGACGGCGGUGUUUGGCACCUCGAUGUCGGCUCAUCACAUCCUGGGGCUGAAGUAGGUCCCAAGGGUAUGGCUGUUCGCCAUUUAAAGUGGUACGCGAGCUGGGUUUAGAACGUCGUGAGACAGUUCGGUCCCUAUCUGCCGUGGGCGCUGGAGAAUUGAGGGGGGCUGCUCCUAGUACGAGAGGACCGGAGUGGACGCAUCACUGGUGUUCGGGUUGUCAUGCCAAUGGCACUGCCCGGUAGCUAAAUGCGGAAGAGAUAAGUGCUGAAAGCAUCUAAGCACGAAACUUGCCCCGAGAUGAGUUCU